Molecule: long non-coding RNA, 324 nt
Filed under: Phoenix dactylifera (date palm)
Lineage: Eukaryota; Viridiplantae; Streptophyta; Magnoliopsida; Arecales; Arecaceae
Description: long non-coding RNA (PDAC_LNC011136)
Source: RNAcentral
GAAUGAAUGUGAGAACGAUCCGAAAGAAGGGGAAGUUUGGAUAUGAGAGCUUAUAUGACUCUGUUCCUAAAUAAAUGACGUGGAGGGAAGCGGAAUGGCUGGGAGGAGUUCUGGGAUUAUUCGUGGAAAGUUGAAAUGGAUUGAAGGGGCGAGGCUUUGGGAUCUGUGCAACUAAGAUGGUAUGCUUUGAGAUCUGAGAGACAAAUAUUUGAAGGGAUUUUAUUGUUUUUUGAGAUUAAAAUUGGAUCAUGUGGAAAAAGAGUUGGAACGAGUGGGAAGAAAAUUAGGUGACUGAAUCAGAGGGUCUUGAUUUGCGGGGUGCAU